GACGAACGCUGGCGGCGUGCUUAACACAUGCAAGUCGAACGGAAAGGCCCUGCUUUGGUGGGGUGCUCGAGUGGCGAACGGGUGAGUAACACGUGAGUAACCUGCCCUUGACUUUGGGAUAACUUCAGGAAACUGGGGCUAAUACCGGAUAGGAGCUACUGCUGCAUGGUGGGGGUUGGAAAGUUUCGGCGGUUGGGGAUGGACUCGCGGCUUAUCAGCUUGUUGGUGGGGUAGUGUCUUACCAAGGCUUUGACGGGUAGCCGGCCUGAGAGGGUGACCGGCCACAUUGGGACUGAGAUACGGCCCAGACUCCUACGGGAGGCAGCAGUGGGGAAUAUUGCACAAUGGGCGGAAGCCUGAUGCAGCAACGCCGCGUGCGGGAUGACGGCCUUCGGGUUGUAAACCGCUUUCGCCUGUGACGAAGCGUGAGUGACGGUAAUGGGUAAAGAAGCACCGGCUAACUACGUG
This 468-nucleotide ribosomal RNA is filed under the name uncultured bacterium. RNAcentral describes it as "partial 16S ribosomal RNA". It matches the Rfam family "Bacterial small subunit ribosomal RNA", at positions 28 to 507 of the family's 1533-position model. The record is from RNAcentral.